Molecule: ribosomal RNA, 433 nt
Filed under: uncultured bacterium
Lineage: Bacteria
Description: partial 16S ribosomal RNA
Rfam family: Bacterial small subunit ribosomal RNA
Source: RNAcentral
AACGAACGCUGGCGGCAUGCCUAACACAUGCAAGUCGAACGAGACCUUCGGGUCUAGUGGCGCACGGGUGCGUAACGCGUGGGAACCUGCCCUUAGGUUCGGAAUAACUCCCCGAAAGGGGUGCUAAUACCGGAUAAUGUCUUCGGACCAAAGAUUUAUCGCCUUUGGAUGGGCCCGCGUUGGAUUCGCUAGUUGGUAGGGUAAAAGCCUACCACGGCGACGAUCCAUAGCUGGUCUGAGAGGAUGAUCAGCCACACUGGGACUGAGACACGGCCCAGACUCCUACGGGAGGCAGCAGUGGGUAAUAUUGGACAAUGGGCGAAAGCCUGAUCCAGCAAUGCCGCGUGAGUGAUGAAGGCCUUAGGGUUGUAAAGCUCUUUUACCCGGGAUGAUAAUGACGGUACCGGGAGAAUAAGCUCCGGCUAACUCCGUG